ACUACAAUAAAGCCUCAUGCAGUUUGCAUCAAGCUUUCGCCUCCAUUCUGUGUUUGGGGUGGCCGCCGUCCUGGGCUAAGAUUCUGGAAGCCUCAGCUUUCUGAGGGUCUAACACCAACUUGACAGGCUCUAGAAUUCCUGAGGAGGAAUGUACAGGAAUUUGGAACUUUGGGAAAUAAAACCCUCAAAUACCAUAAGAAACUUAAUGGGCCAUUUUGAUGAGAACUUGGAAGGCAAGAAGGUAAAGACAUAUGAAGAUAGUAGAGGCCUGGCUUGUGAACCAGUGCUCUACCAGGAACCAGGCUUGACACCAUUUGUGUGACUUUCUGCCAAAUAAUGGGACUUCACAUUGUCCCAUCCAGAGAAGCUGAGUGAUCAAAGGAUGGACUAAUGGGUUUGUCUCAGGCUAUUCAAGGCAGGAGAGCAUUCAACUGGAGCACGGCUACUACUCACUGCAAUUAUCCAAGUCUAAAGUGAAAACGAAAAGGUUGGGAAGAAAGACACAAAAAGUGUUUAGUUUAGAGCAGCAAAAAAAGCACAAACAAGUUUUAAGUUGUGAACAAGGUGAAUGCUGAAAAGGGGGCUUCAGUUAUUGCUGAGAAGGCUCCUGCUGUAAACUGCAACAGUGACAGGUACCCCAAAGACAAGCCUCCCAGCAAAGUCUCCAACUUGUGAAAAUGAAAACUCACUGAAAGGAGAGAACUUGUGAGAGUGAGGCUGAAGGUGGCCCGGCAGGAGGGGGCCACAACAAAACCACCUAGAUCUGGGGAUAACCAGUUGCUUUCUGAUGGAUUAAGGCUUGUUCUGCCUUAGGAAAUGCAUGCCUCAUACUAUAAAUCCAAUCAAGAACCUAUGGUAGGGAGUUCACGGGCCCCAGGAGUAAAUCUAUUACUAUUAUUCUGCUAAAUGGGCAUAGUAUCAAGCUGCCAUCUAAAUCCGUAACUCUCUACCUGUAAACUAGUACAGCUCUCAGACUUCAUCAGAAAAUUGUGUUUGUACGUUGUAUGGUGGUUAAUGCAGAAACUCACAACUGGUCAAAAUGCAGAGAAUGAGUGUCUGUGGAGUGCUCAGCUACAAACAGGACAUCUAUAGCACACUAUUCCUCCCAAACCCCAGGGCUUGGGGGCCAUUGCAGAAGAUGGGGCUGAAAGAGUGUAAGAGCCAGAGGUUAGGGAGAGCCAGACUGAAACAGUGUCUUUUGGACAUGACAAGAUUACUAUAGCCAUGAACUCUAAGCAGUUGUGUGGCUGCCUGAGCAAGCCCUGUACAAGCUCAAGCCAAUCAACAUCCUAGUGUGGAGUGGUUUAUUAGCCUCAGCUCUAUGAACAGUUGAUGGCUUCUGGGAAUGAGAGUCUGUUUUCUUUAAGGGUGUUUCCUGGCAGGUCACUCCAGUGGGUAGCCACGCACUCAGAAGUAUAUGGGAAGCACAGAUUGGAGUCCAUGCUUUUGUUUGUUUGUUUUAAGAAAAGAACAGGAAGUUGGCAGGGUAGUGAUAUGGGAUGGAUCUGGAGGAGUUAAAGAAAGGAGUUAGGGA
Cricetulus griseus (Chinese hamster) is the source of this 1534-nucleotide non-coding RNA. NCBI's taxonomy places the organism in Eukaryota, Metazoa, Chordata, Mammalia, Rodentia, Cricetidae. The record is from RefSeq and is a predicted model, not a curated record.